UACGAAGGGGGCUAGCGUUGUUCGGAUUUACUGGGCGUAAAGCGCACGUAGGCGGAUCGAUCAGUCAGGGGUGAAAUCCCAGAGCUCAACUCUGGAACUGCCUUUGAUACUGUGAUCUGGAGUAUGGAAGAGGUGAGUGGAAUUCCGAGUGUAGAGGUGAAAUUCGUAGAUAUUCGGAGGAACACCAGUGGCGAAGGCGGCUCACUGGUCCAUUACUGACGCUGAGGUGCGAAAGCGUGGGGAGCAAACAGG
RNAcentral lists this ribosomal RNA (252 nucleotides) under uncultured bacterium. Its description in RNAcentral is "partial 16S ribosomal RNA". It matches the Rfam family "Bacterial small subunit ribosomal RNA", at positions 524 to 776 of the family's 1533-position model. The record is from RNAcentral.